UGUCUGUCUGUCUGUCUCUCUCUCUCUCUCUCUCUCUCUCUCUCUCCCUUGACCGGCACAAACUGGAUUUGAGAAUUUUCUGACGAACACUGAGAAACGUCACUCAUAGGACUCUUACAACACACAAUCAUGCCACACCGAAACAUUGAGAAUAUUUGAGUAAGAUAAUUUUUCUUGCAGUUGCAUCAAUUAGAAGGAUACAACAAUCGCUAAAUCUUUGAGGAGAUAUAUUUCUGUUAUUGAUUUUCUUCACGGUACAUUUGCCUUUUUUCGCUUGUCAAGGCGUAGAAAGCUCCAGUUAUACAGUCCUCUUCCAUGAUAUACAUUUCUCGCAUUUAUUUCGUGAACGUUACGGAAUAUUCAUUAAAAUUCCACAUUGUUUUCUCGUCAGAUCUUGUAACCGUUAACAUGCUAGUAGGCUUCCAUAAUAAGACAUUUGUGUUCUUGGGCCACAGCCGGAACUGCAUGUGUUAAGACCACUCUAAAGAGUCCAAUUGCUGCUGCUGUAGCUCCUGCUAACUGAAGCCACAUCUGUACCUUGGACUAUUGGAUUAGAUUAUAUUAGAUGUCCAUUUAAGCUUUCUUAAACUAUAUUAGUAGUGAAACUUUUUCUGGUUGUUGGCACGUUUUUGAACUCUGGACCCCUUCAGGAGACAAAGCAACUGGCUUUAAAUUUCUGAUAAGACUACUCGUAUGUCUAAUACUGAUUCCAUGAAAUCUGUUAGUUUGAAAAAGAGAUAUAAAUUAUGACUAAUUACAUUAAAAAAAUAUGUUAUGAAGUAUUAAUGGUUCAAAUGGCUCUGAGCACUAUGGGACUCAACUGCUGAGGUCAUUAGUCCCCUAGAACUUAGAACUACUUAAACCUAACUAACUUAAGGACAUCACAAACAUCCAUGCCCGAGGCAGGAUUCGAACGUGCGACCGUAGCGGCCUUGCGGUUCCAGACUGCAGCGCCUGUAACCGCACGGCCACUUCGGCCGGCUACGAAGUAUUAAUUUGUUUCUCCAAUUGUAUUAGCCAUUGAGCCAUGCUGGGUGAAGGAAGUGAUGGAUUCAACGCUACUCUUGUGUCUAAUACUGAUUCCAGGAAAUCUGUUGGUUUGUAGAAGAGAUAUAACUUAUGACUAAUUUCAUUAAGAAAUAAAUAUAUUCCGAGGUCUUAGUUUGUUUCUUCAAUUGUAUUAGUCCUUGGGACAUGCUGGCCGAAGGAAGUGAUCGAUUCAGUAAAAAGUAAAUAUAUUGGAAAGUAUUAUUUUGUUCCUCCAACUGUAUUAGCCCUUGGACCAUGCAGAUCGAAAGAGGUGAUCGAUUCAACGUCCUCCAUAUUGUUUGAGGUUUUAAGUGAAUGUAUAUCGCGAGGUAGUGCGUAUUGCAUGGACGAGCGAAACAUUUACUCUUUGUUGUCGCAGUGCUCCAUGGCGAGCGAAGGAAAGUAAGAAAAUACAUAGACACUGCGAAGCAUUUCGUGAACAAAAACAAAUUAACGAUCACUUAGUUAUAUGUAUUUCUUGUAUUGAUUGUGAUUUAUUGUGAUAAAUGCGUAUUUUAUGUUAUGUACCUGCACUAAUGUUGUGCUUCGUAUGAUUUCAUGUACGACUGAUGGAAUAAUUCUAUGUGAGCUACAUCCGACAUCAGGCAGCCACGACAAGACCCAUCCAUGACAUAUGAACUUCAUAUGUCUCUAAUCUGCAGUAAAGGAAGUGAGUCCAAGCAGCACUGGACAUUGAACUUCACGCACUUAUCUGAGAAUUAAGCGUGUACGCGUGGCGCCGCCCCUUGUACAACGACAAGCGAAGGAAAGCGAUCAUACGUGGCGGCACGCUGGCGGCAGGUUCAAAAGGGCCGUCUGUAGCGUACGAGUAGCUGUGAGCGGCGCGCGGCGCGCCGGUGCGGCCAACGGAGUUGGCUGGGUCUGGCUACUAUUUCCUCGAGGUACCUGAACUACAUUUCAGUCACUCAGUAAAGUGAUAACUCAAAAUAUCAUUGUCAACAGAUCUGAAGAAAUUGCCACUGCGUCUUUAGACCGUUUUCGUCAGACGAGAGACACAGUUCUGACUCUGAUUACUGGUUGCUGUACGUAUCUAUCCACAUUAAGGCUGUUUUUGAGAGAGACUCGUGAAGAUUCAAGACAGCUCUUAGAGGAUUUGCAGUUUAAAAGUAAAAUAAUUGUGAAAUAAGUGUGUGAAUGAUUAAACUGUGUUUUAUUGAAGUUGUGCGAUUUUAAAGGAAUA
This is a long non-coding RNA of Schistocerca cancellata (South American locust), 2230 nucleotides long. RefSeq lists it as uncharacterized. NCBI's taxonomy places the organism in Eukaryota, Metazoa, Arthropoda, Insecta, Orthoptera, Acrididae. The transcript is spliced from 5 exons. The record is from RefSeq and is a predicted model, not a curated record.